This 134-nucleotide microRNA precursor is filed under the name Tursiops truncatus (common bottlenose dolphin). RNAcentral's name for it is "miRNA (ENSTTRG00000023629.1)". The record is from RNAcentral. Lineage: Eukaryota; Metazoa; Chordata; Mammalia; Artiodactyla; Delphinidae.
CCCAGUUAAAUUUGAGUUUUAGAUAAACAAUGAAUACAUUUUUAGGAUAAGUAUUUCCUAAACAAUAUUUGAGACAUACUUAUACUAAAUAUCGGUGGUUUGUCUGAAAUUCAAAUUUAACUGGGCAUCCUGUA